UACGGGGGGAGCAAGCGUUGUUCGGAUUUACUGGGCGUAAAGGGCGCGUAGGCGGCCACCGCAAGUCGGUUGUGAAAUCUCCGGGCUUAACCCGGAAAGGUCAAUCGAUACUGCGGGGCUAGAGUGCAGAAGGGGCAACUGGAAUUCUCGGUGUAGCGGUGAAAUGCGUAGAUAUGCGGAGGAACACCGAUGGCGAAGGCAAUCCCCUGGGCCUGCACUGACGCUCAUGCACGAAAGCGUGGGGAGCAAACAGG
RNAcentral lists this ribosomal RNA (254 nucleotides) under uncultured bacterium. RNAcentral's name for it is "partial 16S ribosomal RNA". It matches the Rfam family "Bacterial small subunit ribosomal RNA", at positions 524 to 776 of the family's 1533-position model. The record is from RNAcentral.